Molecule: non-coding RNA, 6666 nt
Organism: Podarcis lilfordi (Lilford's wall lizard)
Lineage: Eukaryota; Metazoa; Chordata; Lepidosauria; Squamata; Lacertidae
Source: the annotation of a GenBank genome assembly
GGGAAACUUCAGCCCUCAAGAUGUUUCUGAACUACAAUUCCCAUCACCCCUGGCCGUUGGCAAUGUUUUCUGAGGCUAAUGGGAACGGUGAGAAAAAGAGGCGCAGCAGGAGAAUAAGUGUGAGGCUUGUGGGCUUUCUGAAUCAGAUGAGGUGAAAACUAUGAUUUUAUCCCUUGGGCCUAACAAGGAACAGUCACAAUGCUGAGAUAAAUCCUUAAGCAGACUCCAGCAACCAGGGGUACGCAGAAUCCUGUGGGUUUAGAAAGAGAACCUUAGAAAACAGAAGUGCCAGCGUUAUAUAAAGGUAAAGGUAAAGGGACCCCUGACCACUAGGUCCAGUCGUGACCGACUCUGGGGUUGCAGCGCUCAUCUCGCUUUAUUGGCCGAGGGAGCUGGUGUACAGCUUCCGGGUCAUGUGGCCAGCAUGACUAAGCCGCUUCUGGUGAACCAGAGCAGUGUACGGAAACGCCAUUUACCUUCCCACCAGAGCGGUACCUAUUUAUCUACUUGCACUUUGAUAUGCUUUUGAACUGCUAGGUUGGCAGGAGCAGGGACCGAGCAACGGGAGCUCACCCCUUCGCAGGGAUUCGAACCACCAACCUUCUGAUCGGCAAGUCCUAGGCUCUGUGGUUUAACCCACAGUGCCACCCGCGUCCCUGCCAGUGUUAUAAUAAGGUGUAAACAGGAAGAGGUGAUCCUUAAGGUACUGCAACUCCAUGCUGCUUAGGGUCUUACAAGGCAUCCUGCAGUUUAAAAAUAAACAAACAAAAAACUAUGAUCGUCAUGAUGCCAAGAUGAUCAAGGGGGCAGAGAGGCGCAGGAGCAGUUGACUCACUUCUGCUCCAGAGUGAUUUCCAGCGUUGCAAUGAGAGACCCUUUUAUGAGUUUGGGAACCUUUUCUUUUCCAAUUAGAGCGCACAGCUGCUCAAGAGAAAGUGAUUCCUGUCUGAUGGGUAGCAGACACAAGGCAGGCACUCACGGCCUCAAUGGGGGCCAUUGUUCAGGGGGAAAUCUUGCCAUUCCAAAUGCCCAGAUGUUAUGGAACUAUUUUCUCCUUCAUCUUUCACGGUCACUCUCUUCGUUUAUCUAGCUGGGCUCUUUGAAUCGAAGCGGCGGCUUUUGUGCACUUUGUAGAUGAAGCACCUUCCAGCUUGGGCUUCAGGAAUGUCAUCUGGCUAUGCUUUUCACAAGGGCUGUAGCUCCACAGUAGAGCAUUUGCUUUGCAUGCCAAAGGCCCCAGGUUCAUCUCCAGGUAGGCCUAAAAACCCAGGAGAGGCUGAACCCCUUGCAGCCAGCGCUGGUUUGAUACAUGGCAUAGGAAGUGCCCUGCCAGGGAAGGAAGUACUCAGAGCCAGUGUGGUGUAGUGGUUAAGAGCGAUAGACUCGUAAUCUGGGGAACCGGGUUCGCUUCCUUGCUCAUCCACAAGCAGGUGCUGGGUGACCUUGGGCUAGUCACACUUCUCUGAAGUCUCUCAGCCCUGCUCAUCUCACAGAGUGUUUGUUGUGGGGGAGGAAGGGAAAGGAGAAUGCUAGCCGCUUUGAGACUCCUUCAGGUAGUGAUAAAGCGGGAUAUCAAAUCCAAACUCUUCUUCUUCUCACAGGGUGACAAGAGGAUGGCAAGGAGAUGGAGGGCAAUGCACAGGAACCAGAGCAGCAGGACCCAUCAUGAGAGCCAGAGCUUCUCUAUAGACAUGGCAGGCUCUCAGGUGUACAGAGCAUUGGGAGGUAUGCUCUAGGACAGCCUUUCUCAACCUGUGGGUCCCCAGAUGUUGUUGAACUACAACUCCCAUCACCCCUAGCUAGCAAGGCCAGAGCUCAGAGUGAUGAUGGGAGUUGUAGUCCAACAACAUCUGGGGACCCAAGGUUGAGAACCGCUGCUCUAGGAGGCUGUAACAGGCAAGGGCCCCCAGCCCAGCUCCUUAUUUGACCAGGUGGGGCUCACUAGCUCUGGGAGAAGGUGUGAGAUUCCUCAGCUUUAGGCUUGGAACAGGUGAGGGUCACCUGCCUCAUAAAGCCCAGACGUGGCAAUCAGAGCAGAGAUGCUGUGUCUGCUCGGCUGCCCAUGUUGGUGGGCCUUGGCUGGGAUGCCCCUGGACCUCUAUGGGACUGAGCUUUGUGUUGGACUCUGGACUGUAUCCUGACUGCUGGAUUCACCUUCGACCUUGCUUGCAUGGAUGGUCUUUUAACUUUGGACUUGACAUACUGACUAGCCGCCAGGUAGGCCAAGGGUUCAGGAGACUUUGCUUCUAGCUGCUCUCGUUCUUAUAGGUUUGCAUGCCUUCACGACACCAAGGAACUCUCAAUUAAAUUCUGGUUCUGUGUCCCUCAACCUUCCUUGGAUGAUUUGGUCAACCAAGGGCCUCUAGAAUUUGUUGAGAGCUGCCUUCUAGGUGAAGUUCAGCCUCGCUCUUCUGCUCUUGCAAAGUGAAGCAGGCAAGCUCAGAGUAAGCGGUACGUUGUUUUCUGGACAAGCCUUCCCUUUGACAGGCGGACAAAGGAAGCGGUGACAUGUGGAAUUGUUUCUCGUCCUCUCUCUUACUAUGCUAAGAAUUCCAAUUUGCUCAACAGCUGCUGUCACAACCACCACCCAACCUUUGAUCUGGUCGGUUUAAGCAAUGUGCCUCUUAAUGCAGCAACAGAUGCAGCUGAUUAAAUAUAUAAAAAUGCAACAAACCAAAGCCCCUCCUGGAAACAAAUUGCUUGCCACCUUGGUGCCUUGGGAAGCCAUCAACGCUUGAAAGAGACUUGCAGAGCAAAUCAGGCUGGAGGGGAAGGGAUGGAAUGUCACUGUAACUAAGGAUAUGUCAACACUUUAGUUAUAACCAUUUAUUUUUAGGAUUGCUGGUUUGGCUUUCAACAACAAAAUUCACUGAAAGCUGAAGUUUAUGUUACAAUACUUUGGGAUGGAUCUUAACUCUCACCAAAACUGUAGGAAUAGCCUUUGCUUUAACUCUUCACUGCAGCUGAACUAGAAUCCAAGGCGGCUGUCUUACCAGCUCCACCUGGUACACCGGCUGAGACCCUAUCUGCCCACAGACUGUCUUUCCAGAGUGGCACAUGCUCUGGUCAUCUUGACUGCUGCAAUGCGCUCUACGUGGGGCUUCCUUUGAAGGUGACUGGGAAACUACAACAAAUCCAGAACGCGGCAGCUAGAUUGGUGACUGGGAGCAGACGCUGGGACCAUAUAACACUGGUCCUAAAAGAUCUACAUUGGCUCCCGGUACAUAUCUGAGCACAAUUCAAAGUGUUGGUACUGACCUUUAAAGCCUCAAACCUCUUCGGCCCUACAUACCUGAAGGAGCAUCUCCACCCCCAUUUUUCAGCUCGGACACUGAGGUCCAGUUCCAAGGACCUUCUGGCAGUUCCCUCAUUGCAAGACGUGAAGUUACAGGGAAUGAGACAGAGGGCCUUCUUGGUAGUAGCGCACCCCCACCCCACCCCACCAGAUGUCAAGGAGAUAAAGAACUAUGACUUUUAGAAGACACCUGAAGGCAGCCCUCUAUAGGGAAGAUUUUAAUAUUUGAUGUUUUUAUCGUGUUUUCAUAUUUUGCUGGAAGCCCCCCAGACUGGAUGAGGCAACCCAGUCGGAUGGGCGACAUAUAAAUAUAACAGUAGUGGUAAUAAUUAUAAUUAUGGAUAUUAAUAAUAGCCCAGCCUCAAUUUUCUAACAGUAUAAGUUCUGCUUAUGCAAACACUCACACAUGCAAACAGCCCUGUGGGGCAGGCUCCCCAUUUGAGGAGGCUAGGCAACAUGCCCUCUGAUGAGCCCUUCCUCUGCAGUUCGGCCCUGGUGGACUUGCCUAGUAGCAACGGUGCACACUAGCAAGCAGUAGUGCCAUUUGGACGGAGGCUGCGGCAUUAACUCCUCGCAAUUCCCUGAAGCAAAACUGCUGUGGAAAAUUAAACUGGCAGCUUGCGCCGCUCGAAGCAUCGGGACGGAUUCUUUAUUCUUUCAAAGAGUGUUCUAGAGCUGGGUUCUGGGGCUGCAGCAGCUGCCCAGGUGCUAAGGUUGGCUCAGACUGCUUCUGGACACCCCAAAACACAAGAUCUACAUUAGGGAAAAAGAAAGGGGAAAACUAGGGGCUCUGACGGCCAACCAUGUGACUACCUGCAAGAAGAGCGCACCAUGGGUAGGCAAACUAAGGCCCAGGGGCCGGAUCUGGCCCAAUCGCCUUCUAAAUCUGGCCCGCGGACGGUCCAGGAAUCAGCAUGUUUUUACAUGAGUAGAAUGUGUCCUUUUAUUUAAAAUGCAUCUCUGGGUUAUUUGUGGGGCAUAGGAAUUCGUUCUCAUCCCCCCCUUCAAAAUAUAGUCCGCCCCCCCCCAAAGGUCUGAGGGACAGUGAACCAGCCCCCUGCUGAAAAAGUUUGCUGAUCUAGAAGCACCGGCCCUCUGCCAGCCAGUAGCCAAUUUUCAGACAGCACUCAGUGUGUGAGGAUAAGGGUAUUUGCUUGAACGCUUCUACUGUGAGACAGUGGAAUCUGCUAAGCUGUGGGUGGAGCCUGGCAAACUCUGAAGUUUACUGGGUUUUCGGGAGCCAGUGCCAGACACCUGAGGCAGUUAAGAAUAAUGACAACGGUGGGAAAAAGAAUCCAGAAGUAACAGUUGGGUAGGUACUAAUUAUUGCAUUAGUUGAGGCCAACAAAAACAAUAACGUGCCAACUGUUGUUCCCUGGAACUAUAUUAUUAUUAUUUAAAACAUGAGAAGAGCUUUGCUGGAUCAGGCCAAGGCAGAAGUGUACCUAGGGCAGGGUUUCCCAAACUUGGGUCUCCAGCUGUUUUGGACUACAACUCCCAUCAUCUCUAGCUCGUAAGACCCCAUUGGUCAGGGAUGAUAGGGGUUGUAGUCCCAAAAAGCUGGAGACCCAGGUUUGGGAAACCUUAACCUAGGGGUUGGUCAGGUUGGCCCCAGUCAAGGGUGCAGGCCCAAGGGCAGGGGGGUCGCACAAAUCACACCUCUCCACUCUGUCUCGGAGUGGCUAUGAGCCUGCCCACCUGCCUGCUCCCUGGGUUGCUCCUCCACUGCUCUGGGAGGCCAGGUGAGGGAAGUUUCUUGUCCAUGGUCUCUCUCAGCUUUGGAGGCACUGAUAAGGCUCUUUGCCAAGGGCACAAGGGAGCCUAGGUAUGCCCUUGGGCCAAAGGACCAUCUAGUCCAGCACCCUGUUGUUCGAGAAGCCAACUACAGAGCCAGUGUGGUGUAGUGGUUACAGCGGCGUAGCGUGGGUUGUCAGCACCCGGGGCAAGGCAAGUAAUUUGCGCCCCCUAACCCGGGGCAAGGCAAGUAAUUUGCGCCCCCUAACCUGCCGCCGCUGCCAGCUUCUUCUUGCUGCUGCCUGGUCUGGUCUGGUGUUGUUCUCUCCCGCGCUCAGUGCUGCGCUGGGCGGCCGCUGCACUGUCCCUCCCCCAGAUAGCCCCUCGCUCUCUCUCCGCACCGCAUGCCUGGCACCCACCCCCUCCACAGUGGGCGGCGACCCAGCGGCUCGGAUCGGAUUCGCACAGCCAGCACUGCAGUGAGAGAGAGUGAGUGAGCCAGGUAGGGGCAGAGAGCUGCAAGUGCGAGCGCGCCCCCCCAGAUGUUGCGCCCGGUGCGGCCGGCCCCCCCUGCACCCCCCACGCUACGCCACUGAGUGGUUAAGAGCUGUGGACUCGUAAUCUGGUGAACCAGGUUUGCUUCCCUGCUCCUCCACAUGCAGCUGCUGGGUGACCUUGGGUUAGUCACACUUCUCUGAAGUCUCUCAGCCUCACUCACCUCACAGAGUGUUUGUUGUGGGGGAGGAAGGGAAAGGAGAAUGUUAGCCGCUUUGAGACUCCUUAGGGCAGUGAUAAAGCAGGAUAUCAAAUCCAAACUCUUCUUCUUCUUCUAUGGGAAGCUGAACCUGAGUGCAACAACCUUCUUCCCACUUGCAAUUCCCAGGAACUGGAAUUCAGGACUAUGCUGUCUUGGUCAUGGAGACAGAACACAGACACAACAAUCGCUUGUGGCAACUGAUAGUUUUAUCCUCCGUGAAUUCGCCUAUAUAAGAACAUUAACGGGGUGACAUUCCACUCUGUCUUCAAGGAGCUCAGAACAGUGUGUACUUUAUGUGUAAAAGAGAAAGAGAAAGGCAGAGUCUGUUACCACACAACCUCACGAAGUGUGAAGCGAGCAGAGUCCUCGAUCCUAUCCCCACUUACCUGGGAGUAAGCCCCGUCAAACUAAAUAGCAUUUACUUCUGAGCAGCCACGACCAGGAGUGCCCUUAAACCGAGGCAGGAUUAACAACGCCAAGGUCACGCGAGGUUCUGCCUUCCAUUCGAGCUGCACGCAGCUCCGUCUAAUAAUAAUAAAGCAGCCCCACAUUUCCUAUGGGCUUAUUAUUAUGUUUGUUCUGUUAAACUCUCUCUCUCUCUCUCUCUCUCUCUCUCUCUCUCACUCCUUUCCACCGCCUAGGUCUCAAAGCGGCUCACCCACACAAAAAUACGCAAAACUGAAAACCUCAAGAAUCUCGAAACAAAAACAAGCUUUGCCCUUCCAGGAAAUGCUUGAUCUCUCCGGGCCGGCGGCGCGGGAGCCCUUCUGCUUUACCCAACUCCGAAGUCUCGAGCUGCGCGCCCGUCUCCAAACUCGGGCUGCGCCCUUGCGCCGGAGUUUCCUCCUUCAGCCCGCCCCGUCCGUCCUUUCUCCCCCCC